UACGAAGGGUGCAAGCGUUAAUCGGAAUUACUGGGCGUAAAGCGUGCGUAGGCGGUCUUUUAAGUCCGUUGUGAAAGCCCUGGGCUCAACCUAGGAAUGGCAGUGGAUACUGGAAGGCUGGAGUACGGUAGAGGAGGGUGGAAUUCCCGGUGUAGCGGUGAAAUGCGUAGAGAUCGGGAGGAACAUCAGUGGCGAAGGCGGCCCUCUGGACCAGUACUGACGCUGAGGCACGAAAGCGUGGGGAGCAAACAGG
RNAcentral lists this ribosomal RNA (253 nucleotides) under uncultured bacterium. Its description in RNAcentral is "partial 16S ribosomal RNA". It matches the Rfam family "Bacterial small subunit ribosomal RNA", at positions 524 to 776 of the family's 1533-position model. The record is from RNAcentral.